ACGCUCGACACCUACGGGAGGCAGCAGUGGGGAAUAUUGCACAAUGGGGGAAACCCUGAUGCAGCGACGCCGCGUGGAGGAAGAAGGUCUUCGGAUUGUAAACUCCUGUUGUUGGGGAAAAAGAGGAUGGUACCCAACAAGGAAGUGACGGCUAACUACGUGCCAGCAGCCGCGGUAAUCUGAGCGGGCUGGCAAGGC
RNAcentral lists this ribosomal RNA (198 nucleotides) under uncultured bacterium. RNAcentral describes it as "partial 16S ribosomal RNA". It matches the Rfam family "Bacterial small subunit ribosomal RNA", at positions 328 to 539 of the family's 1533-position model. The record is from RNAcentral.